Long non-coding RNA from Oncorhynchus tshawytscha (Chinook salmon), 687 nucleotides. The record is from Ensembl. NCBI's taxonomy places the organism in Eukaryota, Metazoa, Chordata, Actinopteri, Salmoniformes, Salmonidae.
UUUAAACAGGGGAGGUGUUAUUUACUCUAAUGGGGUUUAAACAGGGGAGGAGUUAUUUACUCUAAUGGGGUUUAAACAGGGGAGGCUUAUUUACUCUAAUGGGGUUUAAACAGGGGAGGAGUUAUUUACUCUAAUGGGGGAGGAGUUAUUUCAUCAAUGGGGUUUAAACAGGGGAGGAGUUAUUUACUAUAAUGAGGUUUUAACAGGGGAGGAGUUAUUUCCUCUAAUGGGGUUUGUGUCAUCAACUAUAACCAUGCGCAUAUUCCUCAUUGGAACACAGCUAUUGUUUUUGUUUUUUUAAGUACAGGGCUUGUGCAACGUGCAGUACCUAUCCAUUGAUGUAAAUAUAUCCUCUGUCUGAUUCCCAGUUCAUCCACUGGAUAGCAGUGGGAGAUCACAUGACGUCUCUUGGCCACAAAACCAAUUGCAUCUGGUUUGUUUGGGUAGUGAGUCACUGUUGCCAAAAUGGCUAAAUUUAGAUUUUCAAGCCUGUCAUCUCAAAAUGACCUCAUCAAUCGGGGCUUUCAAGUUACGGAGUUUUUUGUUGUUGUUGUUUGUUGUUUUAAAAAAGACCCAGAUAUGUGUAGAAACGUCACACUUCUAUCCCCAUUCACUCUUCCUAUUGUAAACGAUGAGCUAGCUAAACGGUGCAUGUGGAGGAUACGUACAAAGGUCAUGUGGAUGGAG